Molecule: ribosomal RNA, 254 nt
Filed under: uncultured bacterium
Lineage: Bacteria
Description: partial 16S ribosomal RNA
Rfam family: Bacterial small subunit ribosomal RNA
Source: RNAcentral
UACGGGGGGAGCAAGCGUUGUUCGGAUUUACUGGGCGUAAAGGGCGCGUAGGCGGUCAGCACAAGUCAGUUGUGAAAUCUCCGGGCUUAACUCGGAAAGGUCAACUGAUACUGUGCGACUAGAGUGCGGAAGGGGCAACUGGAAUUCUCGGUGUAGCGGUGAAAUGCGUAGAUAUCGAGAGGAACACCUGCGGCGAAGGCGGGUCUCUGGACAGUUCCUGACGCUGAGGCACGAAGGUCAGGGGAGCAAACGGG